Molecule: long non-coding RNA, 611 nt
Filed under: Pan troglodytes (chimpanzee)
Lineage: Eukaryota; Metazoa; Chordata; Mammalia; Primates; Hominidae
Description: long non-coding RNA NONPTRT003323
Source: RNAcentral
GAAGGUGGGGAAGGAGGGAGGGUCUCCGGAGGAGGCCUGUGGGGCCAGAGGGUAUCCGGGACCCGCAGACCCAAAAGAGGAGGAACAUCGAGGCCGGGGUUGGCAGAGGAAAACGGGGGAUGCUAUCCUGCAAAAGUUCCAGGUGCCCACACUGGAAACUUGGAGAUCCUGCUUCCCAGACCACAGCUGUGGGGAACUUGGGGUGGAGCAGAGAAGUUUCUGUAUUCAGCUGCCCAGGCAGAGGAGAAUGGGGUCUCCACAGCCUGAAGAAUGAAGACACGACAGAAUAAAGACUCGAUGUCAAUGAGGAGUGGACGGAAGAAAGAGGCCCCUGGGCCCCGGGAAGAACUGAGAUCGAGGGGCCGGGCCUCCCCUGGAGGGGUCAGCACGUCCAGCAGUGAUGGCAAAGCUGAGAAGUCCAGGCAGACAGCCAAGAAGGCCCGAGUAGAGGAAGCCUCCACCCCAAAGGUCAACAAGCAGGGUCGGAGUGAGGAGAUCUCAGAGAGUGAAAGUGAGGAGACCAAUGCACCAAAAAAGACCAAAACUGAGCAGGAACUCCCUCGGCCACAGUCUCCCUCCGAUCUGGAUAGCUUGGACGGGCGGAGCCUUAA